Molecule: ribosomal RNA, 68 nt
Filed under: Acetomicrobium flavidum
Lineage: Bacteria; Thermotogati; Synergistota; Synergistia; Synergistales; Acetomicrobiaceae
Description: partial 16S ribosomal RNA
Rfam family: Bacterial small subunit ribosomal RNA
Source: RNAcentral
UUGAACGGAGAGUUUGAUCCUGGCUCAGGACGAACGCUGGCGGCGCGCUUAACACAUGCAAGUCGUGC